GAUGAACGCUGGCGGCGUGCCUAAUACAUGCAAGUCGAGCGAACAGACGAGGAGCUUGCUCCUCUGACGUUAGCGGCGGACGGGUGAGUAACACGUGGAUAACCUACCUAUAAGACUGGGAUAACUUCGGGAAACCGGAGCUAAUACCGGAUAAUAUAUUGAACCGCAUGGUUCAAUAGUGAAAGACGGUUUUGCUGUCACUUAUAGAUGGAUCCGCGCCGCAUUAGCUAGUUGGUAAGGUAACGGCUUACCAAGGCAACGAUGCGUAGCCGACCUGAGAGGGUGAUCGGCCACACUGGAACUGAGACACGGUCCGGACCCCUACGGGAGGCAGCAGUAGGGAAUCUUCCGCAAUGGGCGAAAGCCUGACGGAGCAACGCCGCGUGAGUGAUGAAGGUCUUCGGAUCGUAAAACUCUGUUAUUAGGGAAGAACAAAUGUGUAAGUAACUAUGCACGUCUUGACGGUACCUAAUCAGAAAGCCACGGCUAACUACGUG
Molecule: ribosomal RNA, 497 nt
Filed under: uncultured bacterium
Lineage: Bacteria
Description: partial 16S ribosomal RNA
Rfam family: Bacterial small subunit ribosomal RNA
Source: RNAcentral